Molecule: ribosomal RNA, 468 nt
Filed under: Triticum aestivum (bread wheat)
Lineage: Eukaryota; Viridiplantae; Streptophyta; Magnoliopsida; Poales; Poaceae
Description: partial small subunit ribosomal RNA
Source: RNAcentral
AUGGACUCCACCGUCGUGGGCGCCUUCAGCGCCGUCCGCGAGGGCAUCAUCGUCUCUGCCUCCGCGGGAAACUCAGGCCCUGCUGAGUCCACCGCCAUCAACAUCGCGCCGUGGUUCUUGACCGUCGGCGCGUCAACCAUCAACCGCCAUUUCCCGGCGGACGUCGUCCUCAGGCGCUUCGCUCUACGCCGGCCCGCCGCUUGGCGCAACCGAGAUACCUCUCGUGCAUGGCCGGGCCGUCGGCUCGAAAACCUGCGAAGCUGGGAAGCUCAACGCCAGCUUGGUCGCCAGGAAGAUCGUUUUGUGCGGCCCUGCCGUCUUGAACGUUGCGCAAGGAGAGGCUGUGAAGCUCGCCGGUGGCGUCGGAGCAAUCCUCACGAGCACCAUAGAAUUCGGCGAGCUGGUCGUCGGCAGCCCCCACACCUUCCGUGCCACAACCGUCACGUUCGCUGCCGCGAAAAGGAUUAA